UUGGAGGGCAAGUCUGGUGCCAGCAGCCGCGGUAAUUCCAGCUCCAAUAGCGUAUAUUAAAGUUGUUGCAGUUAAAAAGCUCGUAGUUGAAUUUCGGGAUCAAUAUGUUGGUCGUGCCUUGGUACGUACUAAUUUAUUGGUUUCUUCCUUCUGACGAACCAUGAUGUCAUUAAUUUGGUGUCUUGGGGAAUCAGGACUGUUACUUUGAAAAAAUUAGAGUGUUUAAAGCAGGCUCACGCUUGAAUACAUUAGCAUGGAAUAAUGAAAUAGGACGUUUGAUUCUAUUUUGUUGGUUUCUAGGAUCGACGUAAUGAUUAAUAGGGAUAGUUGGGGGCAUUAGUAUUCAAUUGUCAGAGGUGAAAUUCUUGGAUUUAUUGAAGACUAACUACUGCGAAAGCAUUUGCCAAGGAUGUUUUCAUUAAUCAAGAACGAAAGUUAGGGGAUCGAAGACGAUCAGAUACCGUCGUAGUCUUAACCAUAAACUAUGCCGACUAGGGAUCGGAUGAUGUUAAUUUUUUAAUGACUCAUUCGGCGCCUUACGGGAAAC
This 547-nucleotide ribosomal RNA is filed under the name uncultured Glomeromycotina. RNAcentral's name for it is "SSU rRNA". It matches the Rfam family "Eukaryotic small subunit ribosomal RNA", at positions 548 to 1098 of the family's 1831-position model. The record is from RNAcentral. Lineage: Eukaryota; Fungi; Glomeromycota.